RNAcentral lists this ribosomal RNA (732 nucleotides) under uncultured cyanobacterium. Its description in RNAcentral is "bacterial SSU rRNA". It matches the Rfam family "Bacterial small subunit ribosomal RNA", at positions 585 to 1331 of the family's 1533-position model. The record is from RNAcentral. Lineage: Bacteria; Bacillati; Cyanobacteriota.
AAGUCCUUUGUCAAAGCGUGGAGCUUAACUCCAUAACGGCGAGGGAAACUGACAGGCUAGAGUACAGUAGGGGUAGGAGGAAUUCCCGGUGUAGCGGUGAAAUGCGUAGAUAUCGGGAAGAACACCAGUGGCGAAAGCGUCCUACCGGGCUGUAACUGACACUGAGGUACGAAAGCUAGGGGAGCGAAUGGGAUUAGGUACCCCAGUAGUCCUAGCCGUAAACGAUGGGUACUAGGUGUUGACCGAACCACUCGGUCGGUGCCGUAGCUAACGCGUUAAGUACCCCGCCUGGGGAGUACGGUCGCAAGAUUGAAACUCAAAGGAAUUGACGGGGGCCCGCACAAGCGGUGGAGUAUGUGGUUUAAUUCGAUGCUACGCGAAGAACCUUACCUGGGUUUGACAUGCGAGUAGUAGUGAUGAAAUGGAACGAUCCCUGCGGGGAAGCUCGUGCAGGUGCUGGAUGGCUGUCGUCAGCUCGUGCCGUGAGUUGUUCGGUUAAGUCCGCAAACGAGCGCAACCCCUGGUGUCAGUUACAAGUGUCUGGCGCGACUGCCCGUGGCAAACGGGAGGAAGGCGGGGAUGACGUCAAGUCAGCAUGGCCUUUAUAUCCAGGGCUACACACACGCUACAAUGGCACAUACAAUGGGUCGCGAAGCCGCGAGGUGGAGCCAAUCUUGGAAAGUGUGCCACAGUUCGGAUUGCAGGCUGCAACUCGCCUGCAUGAAGUCGGAG